RNAcentral lists this ribosomal RNA (253 nucleotides) under uncultured bacterium. RNAcentral's name for it is "partial 16S ribosomal RNA". It matches the Rfam family "Bacterial small subunit ribosomal RNA", at positions 524 to 776 of the family's 1533-position model. The record is from RNAcentral.
UACAGAGGUGGCAAGCGUUGUUCGGAUUCACUGGGCGUAAAGGGUGCGCAGGCGGCCAAGUGUGUGAGGCGUGAAAGCCCGGGGCUUAACCCCGGAAUUGCACCUCAAACUACAUGGCUAGAGCAUUGGAGAGGGUAGCAGAAUUCAUGGUGUAGCAGUGAAAUGCGUAGAUAUCAUGAGGAAUACCAGAGGCGAAGGCGGCUACCUGGACAAUUGCUGACGCUCAGGCACGAAAGCGUGGGGAGCAAACAGG